Molecule: ribosomal RNA, 235 nt
Filed under: uncultured Candidatus Saccharibacteria bacterium
Lineage: Bacteria; Candidatus Saccharimonadota
Description: partial 16S ribosomal RNA
Rfam family: Bacterial small subunit ribosomal RNA
Source: RNAcentral
UAAGCGGUCAGUGAAUCGUGUGGCUCAACCAUGCGGCUACUGACUGAACUAAUAAACUAGAGUAUGAGAGAGGUAGCUGGAAUUCCUGGUGUAGGAGUGAAAUCCGUGGAUAUCAGGAGGAACACCAAUGGCGUAGGCAGGCUACUGGCUCAUCACUGACGCUGAGGCACGAAAGCGUGGGUAGCGAACGGGAUUAGACUACCCCGGUAGUCCACGCCGUAAACGAUGGAUGCUA